CCUACGGGAGGCAGCAGUGGGGAAUAUUGCACAAUGGGGGAAACCCUGAUGCAGCGACGCCGCGUGAGUGAAGAAGUAUUUCGGUAUGUAAAGCUCUAUCAGUAGGGAAGAAAAUGACGGUACCUGACUAAGAAGCACCGGCUAACUACGUGCCAGCAGCCGCGGUAAUACGUAGGGGGCAAGCGUUAUCCGGAUUUACUGGGUGUAAAGGGAGCGUGGACGGCAGAGCAAGUCUGAAGUGAAAGCCCGGGGCCCAACUGCGGGACUGCUUUGGAAACUGCCCGGCUAGAGUGCUGGAGAGGUAAGCGGAAUUCCUAGUGUAGCGGUGAAAUGCGUAGAUAUUAGGAGGAACACCAGUGGCGAAGGCGGCUUACUGGACAGUAACUGACGUUGAGGCUCGAAAGCGUGGGGAGCAAACAGGAUUAGAUACCCUGGUAGUC
Molecule: ribosomal RNA, 440 nt
Filed under: uncultured bacterium
Lineage: Bacteria
Description: partial 16S ribosomal RNA
Rfam family: Bacterial small subunit ribosomal RNA
Source: RNAcentral